ACACCAUAUCUUGUUUUUAACUGCCCUGCAAUCGCUGCAGGCCUUCACCUCUUAAACUACCCCACAGAAGAGGAUUUGUAUUCAUUUAAUGCCAUAGAAAUAACAAAGACUAUUCAAGCACACCAUGAAAUAUGAUUCAAUAGAGGAUACGACACCAACCAACCAUGUAUCAAAAUCUUACAAAUAGGUGCCUGUUUUUGAGGGCUCAAAACAUGUCGACUGUUAUUUAUAUAUUUUUGAAGCGAACAAAGUUUUUAAGCAGAAGAGAUCUUUUAGUGUAUCAUACAGCCUGUUAAUACUGAUAGUUGCAAUUUUCAAAAGAACAUAUAGAACUCUUUGUGACUAACCCCAUUAAUUAUCAAUUUAAGAAAAUAUAAUAGUACAAGUAACUUUAGAAAGCCAAGGUUUUCUACAGUUAAGUGCGGAUGACACGGAGCAUUUUUUAUAGAUUUUUUUAAAGGUUUUAAACACGUGAAAUUUUCAACUGAAAAAAAACUCGUCUUUCAAUAAUAAAAAUAUGUUAUUCUACUCUACUGAUUGCCACACAUACUUUGAAAUAAAAAAAAUCAUAAAUAGUAUAUGAUUAAUUUUUCUAAAAAAAAAAAAGAAUUUUGAAAAAUGCCAAUUUAUAAUAAUAUAGCAAAAUUUCUAAAAUACAAUCGGGUAAAAAUUGUGUACAUUUUAUUGAAUCUUCAAUGGUAACACAAACAUUUCUAUAAAUUAAGUAAAUUACAGAAAUGUUGUCAUAGCUACAUUUAUUCAACUUACAACAUAUUUGUGAAUUUCAUUUCAUGCUACAAUACAUAGAAAAGCAAAAAAAUUACUGAAUGCAAUGUUCAGAAACAAAAAAAAAAAUAUGAAUUAUUUAAGUUUUCAUAAUAAGAAUUUAUAAACUACUUUGUAAUUAAUGCAUGUAAUUUUUAGGCAAUAAAAUUUUUCAUGAAGCAAAA
Molecule: non-coding RNA, 950 nt
Organism: Parasteatoda tepidariorum (common house spider)
Lineage: Eukaryota; Metazoa; Arthropoda; Arachnida; Araneae; Theridiidae
Source: RefSeq, a predicted model, not a curated record